AGUGAACGUUGGCGGCGUGGAUUAGGCAUGCAAGUCGAGCGAGAACCGUAGCAAUACGGGGACAGCGGCGAAAGGGACAGUAACGUGUAGGUACCUACCUCCGGGUUCGGGAUAGCUGCGGGAAACUGCAGGUAAUACCGAAUAACGUCUCCGGACCAAAGGUGUGAUUCCACCUGGAGAGGGGCCUGCAUCCUAUUAGCUUGUUGGCGGGGUAACGGCCCACCAAGGCGACGAUGGGUAGCGGGUGUGAGAGCACGACCCGCGUCAUUGGGGCUGGGACACUGCCCAGACACCUACGGGUGGCUGCAGUCGUGAAUCUUCGGCAAUGGGCGCAAGCCUGACCGAGCGACGCCGCGUGCGGGAUGAAGGCCUUCGGGUUGUAAACCGCUGUCGUAGAGGAGGAAAUGCAGGGGGGUUCUCCCCUCUGUUUGACCUAUUCUAGGAGGAAGUACGGGCUAAGUUCGUGCCAGCCGCCGCGGUAA
This 482-nucleotide ribosomal RNA is filed under the name uncultured bacterium. Its description in RNAcentral is "partial 16S ribosomal RNA". It matches the Rfam family "Bacterial small subunit ribosomal RNA", at positions 28 to 523 of the family's 1533-position model. The record is from RNAcentral.